CGCACUGCCUUCUGGGAGUAGGUCUGCGAGUGGCGCCCGGUAACCGUCUUCUCCCAGGCAAGGAGAAGGCGAUCUGUGCGCAUGCGGAGGCUGGCAACCGCCAUCCAGACGAGGACUAGUGCGCAUGACAGGAAUGGCAAUCUUGAGCUUCUCUCGCCGAGGCUGGGUCAAGGGAAUGGAAGGGGUGCGUGUGAAGAGCACGGUCUGUUCGGUGGAAACAUCUUAUGGUUAUGAAGCAGACAUUGUAGCAACCAAUUGAUUUCUGUGCAUGAUCAGCCUGCAAAUCACAGCCAUCUAACUACCAACCAAAAUCUCAACAUCGUUACUAUGCAACAUAUGGAGUCCUUAAAGAUACUCCAAGACUGAAAAUGAUACAUCCCUGACCUCUGGAUAUGGCCGUUUUGAAAGGGCAACUAGGUUAAAUAUUUUCACAGUGGAACAUGGAAAAUCAAAUCAAAUGGAGACCUUUGAAUGGUCCAAGAUCAACAGGUGCUGUCUGAGGAAGAAAACUGGCAAAGAUCUGGCCCAGAAGAAUAAAUAGGGAGAAAAUUCAUUCAUAUUAUCCACCUCUUAUACAAAACCAAAGCAAAAUUCAACAGAAUAAGGAAGUCGUUCUACGCUUUUAAAUAAAGGCAAAUUAAUGUCCCAAGGCACUGACCACACUGUGAGCUGAAAGGGGAGGGAGGAUCGGAGUGAACUGGUUACAUGACUUAUCAAGCUCAGUUGCAGGGAGCCACAUGGUAUAGUAGCCUUCCAAAGCUCAUUGCUCAGCUGGCUCCUCAAUAAACUGCAGCCGCUGUGCUAUCCGAACCUUCUGAAGAACAAUACACGCGUAAACUACACACAGAAUAAAAAAAACCCACUGUAUUCAUAAACUGUUCAAACUUUAAUGAAACAGCUCGUUACGUCCAACCGAAGCAAUAAAACCGGUUUGAAUAUGCUCUAUUGUGAUCGUUACAUUUCGCUAAACAAAAGGGAAGCAUGCCUAUACAGCAAGAAACAACUUUUAGUAGUUAACAACACAUACAGCGACUCUGGUCUCGCUGGUAAUUAACUUUCUCUGCUGCCUCAUCUUAACCAGAGACAAAGGAUGGGAUUGAAAACGACAUUCUUGCAUUGAUCCAACUCACAUGAUGGAGCCGGCAUUGCUGGACAACGACAACUCAGACAAACAGAGUGAAAGACAACUGAAAUCACCGUCAAUCGUAAUGUAUCACAGUUUGCUCUUUUUACAUUUCAAGAAAUACUUCAGUAUUAAAUUACCAAUACAGCGUCAAACAACUCUUCGCCGUAUGAUCCCUCACAGGAAAAUACAUACGCUCGAAAGUCCACCACAGAGAAAAAAAAGCAAUACUGACUGUUCCUAGCUUCCUCAAAAGUUUUUCUCAGUCAGCCACAAAGAGCAUGCGCAGAGCCAGCCCUCUGCUUUGUCACAGCGCAAUCUCCAAAUGGACAAUAUACACCGGGUGUACAGGAAAACCGUUAAAGGAGCAGUCUGUGUACUGGGUGUACAGGAAAACCGUUAAAGGAGCAGUCUGUGUACUGGGUGUACAGGAAAAACGUUAAAGGAGCAGUCUGUGUACUGGGUGUACAGGAAAACCGUUAAAGGAGCAGUCUGUGUACUGGGUGUACAGGAAAACCGUUAAAGGAGCAGUCUGUGUACUGCCACGGUCUCACCACUAAUCUUCUGGUUUUCCAAAGUAACCAACUUUGAUUUAUGACGCAGUAUAAACUACAGACCCAUUUGCGUACAAGGAAUGCUUUCUGGUCUGAUUCAUUACGGAUCUCACUUCAAACUGUAGUCAGUGAUCUUGCUUCUUAUAUUUUAUACUUUUAAAAAGGAGUAUAAAACAAUCACAUUUCCGAAUAUUUCUGUGGUGUUAAUUUUCAAACUCAUGGAGACCAGAAAUCAUCACCUUCCUAAAUUUAAAGGGAACACUUUUAGACUGACCAUGUCACAAAUGGAAUGUGCAAUCAAUUCAAUCAGAAACAAUGUUAUUGGAUACUUUAAAAUCAAAAAUAACAUUUCUUAACUUGCAGUGAAAUACAAAGGUAAGAAUGAGAAAAGAAAAUUGAGAUCUAUGUCAGCACAGGAACAGAACUUAAAAACCACAAUAAGUCUCCAGAAACUGGGUAUUAAAACAACAUUGAAGCUGGAUGCUUGCAGUGCUGAAGAGGAUGAUGACGAAAAGGAGGAAGAAUCUUCAUCAGCAUAACGUGUAUGCACGGGGGACAAAUCCCUAAUCUGUCCUUCCUCCCACAUAUCCCCCCCUCCCACCUCAAACCCCAUCCCCACCUCCUAUCGACUAACCUCAUUCCGCCCCCAUAAUACAGCUUCUCUGGCACAUCAAAUGAUAACAAUGGACACGAAUGGUAAAGAAUGACAAAUCUUUCAUUAACCUACCUUGAUCCUGUAGAACCACCCUCUAAUGGAGCUUUUUGUCCCCAAUUUCUGAUUAAUGAUUUGAAGCACAUAUUUUGACAGCAAAUCUCCACAGCUGCUGUUAGAACUGGUGAUUUUGUCCAGCACUUUGUGUUCUAAUUCCACCGGUUCAGCAUCUGCAAUACAUUGCUUUUAUUUACAUUGGUGAAGACACAUCCAGAGUAACAUAUAUGGUUUCCUUGCCAGUGGAAGAAUAUAUCUGCUCGAGAGAUGACGCACUAAAUGUUCACAGGAUUGAUUAUUUGGAUGAAGGGAUUGAG
Stegostoma tigrinum is the source of this 2703-nucleotide long non-coding RNA. RefSeq lists it as uncharacterized. Lineage: Eukaryota; Metazoa; Chordata; Chondrichthyes; Orectolobiformes; Stegostomatidae. The record is from RefSeq and is a predicted model, not a curated record. The transcript is spliced from 3 exons.